AUACAGAGGGUGCGAGCGUUAAUCGGAAUUACUGGGCGUAAAGCGCGCGUAGGCGGUCUAUUAAGUCAGAUGUGAAAUCCCAGGGCUCAACCUUGGAACUGCAUCUGAUACUGGUAGACUAGAGUUUUGGAGAGGGAAGUAGAAUUUCAGGUGUAGCGGUGAAAUGCAUAGAGAUCUGAAGGAAUACCAGUGGCGAAGGCGACUUCCUGGCCAAAAACUGACGCUGAGGUGCGAAAGCGUGGGUAGCAAACGGAAUUAGAAACCCUAGUAGUCC
RNAcentral lists this ribosomal RNA (274 nucleotides) under uncultured bacterium. RNAcentral's name for it is "partial 16S ribosomal RNA". It matches the Rfam family "Bacterial small subunit ribosomal RNA", at positions 523 to 796 of the family's 1533-position model. The record is from RNAcentral.